This is a long non-coding RNA of Arabidopsis lyrata subsp. lyrata, 397 nucleotides long. RefSeq lists it as uncharacterized. The transcript has 2 exons. The record is from RefSeq and is a predicted model, not a curated record. NCBI's taxonomy places the organism in Eukaryota, Viridiplantae, Streptophyta, Magnoliopsida, Brassicales, Brassicaceae.
ACGAGGAGGAGCGGUGACGUUACCCAAGAAAAACAUCAAGAAAGUCGUUGAUCGAGCUGGUGGCUGGUUGGUUCCGUGAGAUGAUGGUUGUACGGCACACUCAUAAAGCCUUGGCAGUGUAACAGUCUACUCCUCCACAACCACACGUUUAAGAACAAAGGAGAAGAUCUUUCAAAAAUUAACGGCAAGAGGAAAAGAGAUCUCAAAUCUGUUGAGGACGAUUGAAAAGAAAAGCUUUUUGGUCCUACCAUGUACACAUCAUUUUUGCAAGACAAAAGAAACAAUUUAAUGAAUCCUCAUGGCAUUAAGCAUUUUUAACAUUCUAUAUAUGUCCACCAAAAAUUAACUUUUAUUUCUCCAGUAUAGUAAAAAUGAAGACAUUUCAUUUCAUAUUUAA